UUUGUACUCCCUCCGUCCGGAAAUACUUGUCAUUGAAAUGGAUGUAUCUAGAUGUAUUUUAGUUGUAGAUACAUUCAUUUUCAUCUAUUAUGAUGACAAGUAUUUCCGGACGGAGGGAGUAAGAC
Triticum aestivum (bread wheat) is the source of this 125-nucleotide non-coding RNA. Lineage: Eukaryota; Viridiplantae; Streptophyta; Magnoliopsida; Poales; Poaceae. The record is from Rfam.